AUGACCGAAAACAUUCCAAAAGCAUACUCUUGUAACCAAACCCUGCACAUUAAAAUCAGCAAUGCACAUGUAACAGAAAAGAUAGCAAAAAAACUCAAAAUUAGAACCAAAGCAUUGAGUAAAUUUUCCCUGCACCAAUUCCAAAACCUGCUACAAAAUGUCUACAAAAAAUCUUGUCAAAAUUCGACUGACAGCCCUGCACAUACACAUUAA
Non-coding RNA from Vicia faba (fava bean), 213 nucleotides. The record is from the annotation of a GenBank genome assembly. Lineage: Eukaryota; Viridiplantae; Streptophyta; Magnoliopsida; Fabales; Fabaceae.